CGGCGUGGAUUAGGCAUGCAAGCCGAACGGGAUCUCUUGGAUGGACUCUUCGGAUGAAGUCCUUGAGUGAGAGUGGCGAACUGGUGAGGAACACGUGGGUAAUUUGCCCUUAAGUUCGGAAUAGCCCUUCGAAAGAAGGAGUAAUACCGAAUGUGGUCGUCCCGCUCCUGCGGGAUUGUCUAAAGGUGGGGAUCUUUGGACCUGCCGCUUAGGGAUAAGCCCGCGCCCUAUCAGCUUGUUGGUGAGGUAACGGCUCCCCAAGGCUAAGACGGGUAGCUGGUCUGAGAGGAUGGUCAGCCACACUGGGACUGAGACACUGCCCAGACUCCUACGGGAGGCUGCAGUCGAGAAUCAUUCGCAAUGCCCGAAAGGA
RNAcentral lists this ribosomal RNA (373 nucleotides) under uncultured Planctomycetota bacterium. RNAcentral's name for it is "bacterial SSU rRNA". It matches the Rfam family "Bacterial small subunit ribosomal RNA", at positions 40 to 383 of the family's 1533-position model. The record is from RNAcentral. Lineage: Bacteria; Pseudomonadati; Planctomycetota.